This is a long non-coding RNA of Pecten maximus, 4663 nucleotides long. RefSeq lists it as uncharacterized. The record is from RefSeq and is a predicted model, not a curated record. The transcript has 5 exons. NCBI's taxonomy places the organism in Eukaryota, Metazoa, Mollusca, Bivalvia, Pectinida, Pectinidae.
UUGCAAGGGAAUAUGCAGCACUGCUAGAUUUCUCAGCAUUAUAGAGUCUGGGCCAAGGGAGACAGAGUACUGUGUGAUCGACCUGGGAACACUACCUUAUCUGAUAAAGGCUCCUUAGAUAAUAAUUAUCAAUUCCGUGAUAUAAAUACCAGCCAGGAGAACUAAGCUCAGCUGAGGUCCCUUCGGAUCAUUGCAGAGACAUACCUUUGAUAUCGGUGACAGAAACAUAUUUCAUGUCUUCAUAAACGUCAGCAUGAACACUAUACCUUGUUUAAUCUUCCAGAAACUCUAUGAAUGAUGAAUGACGACAAUUUUUUUGAAGAUAUUAAAUAUAUUCUGUCGUGCCUGAGAUAUGGGUGUGUUGUGUGGUUAAAACUGGGAGAGAGGAGUAGAGUGAUUAAGUGGUGAAAUUCUUGAGAACAGGUGCAGUGUGCCUCGACCAUUACAAGGAUGUACACAGUGUAGGGGAGAGGUGUGAGCCAACACGUUGAUGUUGAUUCUAUAAAUGUCAAUUUCACACCGGAUUGUGACAUACUGAGUGAUAAGCCUUUAACUUGAUCAUCAGUAAAACAAACACUCACACAGAUCUAUAUCAGAGGAAGGAAGAUCACAGCUGACCCCACGAAGAUUGAGUGAAAAGCUCUGAGCUGAUCAGACAUAAAUGUUACCAGACUCAAAACUGAGAGGAUCUCAGCUGAUCAGACAUAAGUGUUGCCAGACUCAAAACUGAGAGGAUCUCAGCUGAUCAGACGUAAGUGUUACCAGACUCAAAACUGAAAGGCUCUGUGCUGAUCAGACAUAAAUCUUUGGAGACUCACAACUUACAAGUUCACAACUGAUUGAAAACUCUCCGAUAAGGAAAUUGAGUGCCAUAAAUGAGGUUCAAAACAGAAGAGAAAGAUUACGAAAGCCAUCGAUUAAGACAAUUAUGGGCUUGUAUGUGUAAAGACAGAGAGUCUCUACUGGAAUGAUAUUACUACACUCAUGGCUUUCGAAACAGUGAAAAUUGCAGCGCAAGAUGGACAUGCUACAUCUGAAUACAAGCUUCAUACCUGAAGAAGACUACCCUCAUGAAACUAGCCAACAUGGUGUCAGCAUGCAUUUCCGAGAAUGUUCAGUGUUCCUUCUAUCCAGUUGAUCAACAGACAGGAAUUAUCUGUGACAGGUCGCCAAUGGAGAGGUUUCACAUUCAGUGUGUUGGUUUGUGUGUAUAAAUGGAGCUGUCGGAAAUAUGGAGUUAUAGUACGAUUCUCUAGGAAAUGAAUAUCAUUCCAUAAAGAACAACCAGACAGGUCAACAAUACUACAGGCUGACACCAUAGGACCAUGAAUGACAUUGCAAUACAUAAGGCUCCCGGGAGUAUGGUACAUUAUCCCACUAUCAUGUUGUCCUAAAGGUACAGUGGAGGGAUUCACCUGGCUAGGAGCUUAUACACCUGUUCAAGAGUCCCUACAAAUGGAUACCAUGAUAAUAGUUUUACCUGUGGACAGUAACAGGGAUAAGUGUUGAUACACCUGUGGAAGUAAACCUGUGAUGAUACACCAGGAUACCUAGCUGUGGAGAUGCACACCUGGACCCAUGGAGUCACACCCGGAAAUAUACCUGGAGAUACACCCAGAGGAUGUGUACUCUUAUCAACGAUUCACCGUUAACGGAUAACCUCUGACAGGUACAAUACCUGUCUCUAUACCUGUUGAUGGAUAUAUUUUGCCAGUAAUUAGUGUCUGAGGAAAGUGUGUUAUACAUUCCUAUGAAUGUCUUUUGUGGAGGUAUACACGAUAUGUGAUUUCGUGUGUUGUGUAUUAAAUAUAGUUCUGUAUUCCAACAGGAUAAAUGUGGGAUUCAUUUCCUUGUUGCUUUGUAUUCCAACAGGAGAGAAAUGUGGGAUUUAUACCUUUGGAUUAAAAUAGGCUUUAGGCCAACAUCACAUCAGCAACAUACACAAUCUCAAUAAGCUGAUGGUGACUUUUCUGGUCGUAGGAAUGAUAUACUGGUGAGGAGGCAGAUCCUUAAGGGGAUACAACUACUUCGGCUAGACUACCUAUCACCUACCACAAAGGAACUUCAUAGGCUAUUACCAUAAGGCUUAUGAAGUGUCAGGGAAUGGAAUCCAGCAUUAACGAUGGCUCAAGAAAAUACACAUUGUUUUCAAAGGAGAUGAAAGAGCAGACGUUCAAAUGACAUUGAUUGCAAUAACCAUGGCAAUGGGGUGUGCAGCUGUUACAGACUCAGAGCAUUGAUAGCAACCAGUGAUGAAGAGGAGACCAGGGGUCCACAAAUGGUCUCGCAUGCUGGCUACCAGGGUUCACAAACGUAAGGAAAAGAAAGUACAUGUGGAUUGGGCAGGAAGCAAAACUGAUGAGGAAGAGAAAGAUGGUAGAGGAUGAUUGACAGCUGGGAGGCGUGGCCAAUAGCAGGAAGCAUUUACAGCAGCAGCAGCACAGGACACAGGUCAAAGUACAACAGUUACCACGACGACUAAGGAUAUGAGUGGUACUCACUUGAUUGGGUUGGCCCUGCAUCAUCCCGGGGUUGUGUUGAGGCUGUGAAUGAGGGGACGGCUGGGAAGCUGGAGGCUAGCAAGACAACGGGCGCGUCAUUAACGUGUCGACAAGACAACAGUAUUGUUGUUAAUGUGUCAUAACAUAUACGAGGGAUCAACAUGUCAAUAGUUUGUCAGACAGACAACAGGACCUAAAUAAGGUGUUUUCAUAGCAGUGUCAGUAUGGUCCAACAGUCACUGAUACAAUACAAAAUGUACCCAGAGUAGCAGUAUCAUGUCUCUAUGUCAUUGACAAAUUUUAAUCAAUCUUUAUUUUAUUUUGCCCGACAUAAAUGUCAAAUAAAAUGGACUAACAAUUAAUGAGCUUUGAAGUGUAACUGUUACCAAGACCACCGUCAUUAACAUGCAACAGGUGUGACCAAGACAACUGUCAUUAACAUAGAACAGGUGUGACAAUGACAACUGUCAUUAAUAUACAACAGGUGUGACCAUGACAACAGUCAUUAAUAUACAACAGGUGUAACCAAGACAACAGUCAUUAACAUACAACAGGUGUGACCAUGACAACUGUCAUUAACAUACAACAGGUGUGAUUAUGACAACUGUCAUUAACAUACAACAGUUGUGACCAUGACAACAGUCAUUAACAUACAACAGGUGUGACCAUGACAACUGUAACAAACAACAGUUGUGACCAUGACUACUGUCAUUAACAUACAACAGGUGUGACCAAGACAACAGUCAUUAACAUACAACAGUUGUGACCAUGAUAACAGUCAUUAACAUACAACAGUUGUGACCAUGACAACUGUAACAAACAACAGUUGUGACCAUGACUACUGUCAUUAACAUACAACAGGUGUGACCAAGACAACAGUCAUUAACAUACAACAGGUGUGACCAUGACAACAGUCAUUAACAUACAACAGUUGUGACCAUGACAACAGUCAUUAACAUACAACAGUUGUGACCAUGACAACAGUCAUUAACAUACAACAGGUCUGACCAUGAUAACAGUCAUUAACAUACAACAGGUGUGACCAUGACAACUGUAACAAACAACAGUUGUGACCAUGACAACAGUCAUUAACACACAGCAGUAGUGACCGUGACAACAGUCAUUAACAUACAACAGGUGUGACUAUGCAACUGUCAUUAACAUACAACAGGUGUGACCAUGACAACAGUCAUCAACAUACAACAGGUGUGACCAUGACAACUGUAACAAACAACAGUUGUGACCAUGACAACAGUCAUUAACAUACAACAGGUGUGACCAAGACAAGUCAUUAACAUACAACAGGUGUGACCAAGACAACAGUCAUUAACAUACAACAGGUGCGAUCAUGACAACUGUCAUGAAUAUACAACAGUUGUGACCAUGACAACUGUCAUUAACAUACAACAGGUGCGACAGCCUUAUAUACGAUAUUAACUAAUGUCUCUCAACACUACCGACGUUUAAAACUGUCUGUAUUAUCAAUGUCACCAAAAUGUUUGUAACUAGUGUCAAGGUCUAUUUGUCUGCCAAGUCACUAAAUGACAAAAGACUCCAGUGAAACAAGUAGAUAGCACUGUAUACAACUUAUAUCUGUCCUGUCUUAUUGUGGGCAAGUUAUGUACAUGCAAGUCGCUAUCAAGCAAUGCGUUAUUUUGUGUGUUAAUACAAAGUGCUACUGUUCCCCAUAAGCUGAAUCAGUCACAAUACUGACAUCACAAAAUUAACCCACAGAAUAACACACUGACUUGUAGCAGUAGUUUACACAGGGCAAGCCAACACUUUAAGACAGGAUAGAGGAGAACGCCACCAUGCGCCUCCUAAAGUAGACAGAAGUCAUCAUGCGUCGCCUAUAAGUGUCUGCAGGCUGUGUGUUUUCAGAUGUCAAGUUUUAUAGUGUUGCUAUAUAAAUGUGCAUACAUAGUUCAAAUAUUUUUUGUACAUGACAAAUUUUGACUGAAAUUCUCAGUUAUCUGAACAAAUAAAAUAUGUUAUCUACAUCACAAUCACAUUUUUGCAUUUUUUGAUUAAGCUCAUGUAUGCAAUUUAACAAAACAUGUAUUUUUGUCUCAAUAAAGCUGUUUCAAGAAAUUAAGGAAAAAUAUUCUUGCAUUAAAUUUAUUUCAGUCAAAAAAUGGAAAUAAAUUCUAUAACAAAAUGUA